ACAUUCGGAGUGUACAUAAAACAGAAAAAAUCUUCAUGUAUUUUUAUUAAAUAUAACAAUGUCUGAGUUUCACCUAAGAUGUUUUUGUGCCAUAUGCUGGAUAUCCAGGUUCUCGCCAGGCCCCGAUACGUGAAUAACAAACCCAAGAAAUGCAUCCCCAUUGUGUGAUGUGUUCAGAUGCAUCUGGCACCAAUUAGGUAUUUCUUAAAACAGGACUCAUCUGUCAGAGUGCAUAUGAAAAAUCAGGCAGGGAAUCGAAACGACAGCGCUUGAGGAGACUCAGGAAGCAGAGGCGUCCCUGCCGCUGCCCUUGGCCCUGCAAGCACAUUAUGACCCUUUCUGGCAGCCUCUUAGUACUCUGGGUAGUGAGAGAUGACCAGUCUUGUCCUGAGAAAUGUUUCUCUCAGUCUUUAAGUUCAAAGACUAAUCUGUGGCAAUCAGACUUUCCAAAAGGGGGUUCUUCAUUUUUUGUAGUUUUGUCUAAAUUUUUAAUGACCAUUUCCUGGAAUCAGUUUAUUAUACUGAAAACUGGGGGUGGGAGUAGGGAGCUAGUUUGUUGAUAAAUAGUUCCCAUUUCCCCGUGGAGAAUUCGACAUACCCUGGACUCCUGUGUGCCUCCUGCCAUCCCUGCACACAGCCUGGGGAGAAGCUUGUGCCUCCCCAUGUGGAGAGAAGGCAACCCCAGAUCCCCUGAGCUAACCCGGAGGAAAGGCAGUCCUGGACAGAAGACUGUCAGCAGAAGGAAAGUACUGGACUACCCGUGGGUAAGGCCUGCCAUUCAAGACUGGAGACACCUGGGAAAUAAAAAGAGCAGGGCACUGCCGGUGGGGAGAGGCAUUUUACCUUCCAGUGUAAAUCCUGCUCCUUUGAUUUAAUGGGGUGUACUGGGACCAGGGGCUGAUUCACUUCCUUGGGAGAUGGUGAUGUUUUCAUGAACAUCUUUGAUCCUUCCAUUUCAUUUAUUCAUCCAUCCAUUCAACAAGUAUUUGCUAAACACUAACCUAAGCUAAUGCUAGGGUAGUGACUGAGAUGUAAAAAUACAUUUUAGAAUUAAAACAAAAUCCAAGUCCUCACACCCCUGUCAUCCCAGGAGAUCUUUCCUUGUGGUGGUUUCUGUGAGAAUUGGCCAUCCUGAGGACACAGCCAUGACGGCAGAGGCCUCCUGGCCUCAGGGCAUGCCCUGCCUACCUUCUGAAAUGUUUACCCCAUUGACCAAACUUGGCUCCAGCCACUGCGGUGGUUUCUAGAUAGCCGGGCCCGCCAAGAGACACUGCCCCUUGAUGAGAGUCAAACACCCUGCCUACAAGGAGAUGUUUUGAAGUGGAGAGGAAAAUUGGCGCCUUAUCUUUUAAAGGCAAUAAUGGAAUUGACUUUCAGUAACUGAAUUUGUGCACAAAACAUUCUAAACACUAGUGAAGCCUGUUUCGUUGAACUAAUUCUGGCUCUGGAAAUGUUUUUGUUUUAUAGUUAUUUACGAUUUCGUUUGUUUGGAUUCAAGCUUAGUUUGUUAAUAUGUAUAAUUUAGCAUCUAUUACACUCAUGUAAAUAUGGAGUAAGUAUUGUAAACUAUUUCAUUGCUGGGGAUUGUGGGUGUUAUACAUACAUUUAGGACUGCAAUUUUUUGGUAUUUUUUGUAUUGUAAAAUAACAGCUAAUUUAAGCAGGAACAAGAGAACUAAGGGAGGUCUGUGCAUUUUAAACACAAAUGUGAAGAACUUGUAUAUAAACAAAAGUAAAUACUAUAAUACAAACUUCCUUCUGAAAUAAAAGUAGAUCUGGUAAAAA
Pongo abelii (Sumatran orangutan) is the source of this 1784-nucleotide long non-coding RNA. The record is from Ensembl. Lineage: Eukaryota; Metazoa; Chordata; Mammalia; Primates; Hominidae.